UGCGGGUUGAUCCUGCCAGAGGUUACUGGUAUCGGUGUUCGCCUAAGCCAUGCGAGUCCUAGGUAACAGUACAUGGGGUACUGCUCGGGAACGCGUGGAUAACCUGCCCUUGGGACCGGCAUAACCCCGGGAAACUGGGGAUAAUUCCGGAUAACGCAUAUGUGCUGGAAUGCUUUAUGCGUAAAAUGGAUUCGUCUGCCCGAGGAUGGGUCUGCGGCCUAUCAGGUAGAAGUGGGUGUAAUGUACCUACUAGCCAGCGACGGGUACGGGUUGUGAGAGCAAGAGCCCGGAGAUGGAUUCUGAGACAUGAAUCCAGGCCCUACGGGGCGCAGCAGGCGCGAAAACUUUACAAUGCGGGAAACCGUGAUAAGGGGACACCGAGUGCCAGCAUCAUAUGCUGGCUGUCCAGGUGUGUAAAAUACACCUGUUAGCAAGGGCCGGGCAAGACCGGUGCCAGCCGCCGCGGUAACACCGGCGGCCCGAGUGGUGAUCGUGAUUAUUGGGUCUAAAGGGUCCGUAGCCGGUUUGGUCAGUCCUCCGGGAAAUCUGAUAGCUUAACUAUUAGGCUUUCGGGGGAUACUGCCAGACUUGGAACCGGGAGAGGCAAGAGGUAC
This 614-nucleotide ribosomal RNA is filed under the name uncultured archaeon. RNAcentral's name for it is "bacterial SSU rRNA". It matches the Rfam family "Archaeal small subunit ribosomal RNA", at positions 1 to 618 of the family's 1478-position model. The record is from RNAcentral.